This 71-nucleotide transfer RNA is filed under the name Sediminispirochaeta smaragdinae DSM 11293. RNAcentral's name for it is "tRNA-Gly (CCC) (tRNA-Gly-CCC-1-1)". It matches the Rfam family "tRNA". From Rfam's summary of the family: Transfer RNA (tRNA) molecules are approximately 80 nucleotides in length. Lineage: Bacteria; Pseudomonadati; Spirochaetota; Spirochaetia; Spirochaetales; Spirochaetaceae. The record is from Rfam by way of RNAcentral.
GCGGGCGUGGUGAAGUGGUAUCACGGAAGCUUCCCAAGCUUCAAUUGGGGGUUCAAUUCCCCUCGCCCGCU